AGAUGACUUCAUCCAGAUUUAAGAAGUCAUUCAAGAGUGUUCAAAACCAAGGUCUUUUUGUUUUUAAUAUUAAACUAUUGAGUCCAUCUGGAAUGUAUAUUGACUACAAUUUGAGGGAGAUAUAAGCUAUGAUUUAUGCCUGUGAACCUCAUCCUUCUCUUGCCAAGGGGCCAGCGGGCAAGGAGAGGAACACCGUACUGACAGGAGCAGCUGAUCUUAUCAUCAGGUGAGCCAGUUUUUUAAAAGGUCACAGUGACAAAGAAUUUUCCAGAAAUGAAGAUAAGAAUUUAGACAGAGGAAGCAUAAGGUAUACUAAAUGGAAUAGAUAAAAAUGAAUCUAUAACUAUGCACCUUCCACUGAAGUUUUAGAACUCCAGAGACAAAGAGAAGCUCGCAAGAGCAGCAGCUCAAGAUAAACAGAUAUCCUCAAAAAUGAAAAACUGAACAAAGAAUAAAUGUCCCAGCAACAAUAGAAGCCAGAACACAGUGAAAUGAUAAAAUUAUCAACCUAGAAUUAUGCAACCACCCAAACUCUCUUUCAGUAACAAGGGUAAAAUAAAAACAUAUUUACACAAAUAAGAA
This is a non-coding RNA of Vicugna pacos (alpaca), 582 nucleotides long. NCBI's taxonomy places the organism in Eukaryota, Metazoa, Chordata, Mammalia, Artiodactyla, Camelidae. The record is from RefSeq and is a predicted model, not a curated record.